GAAGACGCGCAAAAUUGUUAUCAUCCUUAUUUUUCUAAGAGACUUUUUUAUUCGGCCACCACUCGGUGGCCAUUUU
This 76-nucleotide small RNA is filed under the name Xenorhabdus innexi. Its description in RNAcentral is "MicA sRNA". It matches the Rfam family "MicA sRNA". Lineage: Bacteria; Pseudomonadati; Pseudomonadota; Gammaproteobacteria; Enterobacterales; Morganellaceae. The record is from Rfam by way of RNAcentral.